This 61-nucleotide transfer RNA is filed under the name Sphaerodactylus elegans. RNAcentral describes it as "tRNA-Cys". Lineage: Eukaryota; Metazoa; Chordata; Lepidosauria; Squamata; Sphaerodactylidae. The record is from RNAcentral.
GGCCACGGAGAGCGCCAAAGUGCAAAUUUGGCCACGCACCCUAAAGCAGGUGCCGGGGCUU